Ictalurus punctatus (channel catfish) is the source of this 4589-nucleotide long non-coding RNA. Lineage: Eukaryota; Metazoa; Chordata; Actinopteri; Siluriformes; Ictaluridae. The record is from Ensembl.
AAUACACAGGACAAAACAAUAAAUACACAGGACAAUAAAUACACAGAACAAUAAAUACACGGGACAAAACCAUAAAUACACAGGACAAUAAAUACACAGGACAAAACAAUACACAGGACAAUAAAUAUACAGGACAAUAAAUACACAGGACAAAACAAUAAAUACACAGGACAAUACAAUAAAUACACAGGACAAUAAAUACACAGGACAAUAAAUAUACAGAACAAUAAAUACACAGGACAAUAAAUACACAGAACAAUAAAUACACGGGACAAAACAAUAAAUACACAGGACAUGGGCUAUAAAUUGAGACGAGUCUAUAAUUAUGAAUUAGACAGGUUAGAUUAGAGUCUAAUUAACGAACCCGAACACAUACGCGGACAUUUUGAACUCGGAAAUUUUUCCAAGUACAGUUGAGUCGGCAGCAUGUGUAACAUGAAAAUAAAUAAAUAAAUAAAUAAAUAACACAUAAUAAAUAAAUAGCGACAUGAAACUAAGAUAACAAGAAAUGAAUGAAUGAAUGAAUGAAUGAAUGUCUCCCUGCCUGACCAGUGCAAGUAAUAGACUCUAUGCACGAUCGCUUCUAUAUUUUGUCUCAGCCAGCUCAGUUACUUCCGGUGCUGCGCCGGAAGCCAGUUUCGGUGUUGGUGAUAAUGGUGAGAAGAUGGCGCCGGAGAGUACGACUUAUUUACACUGACUGUUUACAAGAACUUCCCCAGAUUACCGUGAAUAACCUUAAUCGCACCGUGAGGCAGUCAGCUGUUACACCCGACAGUAAGAAGGAGAAGGCCUUCAAAUGAUAUAUUUCGAGUUUGAUGGUGAGUAUUCUCAUACUGUAUCCGACUAGCGAAUCUAUCUGAGUCUCCGUUUGACAGUUCAUACCCGUCUUUGCAUUAUUUGUAGGGAUGCACCGAAUGUUCGGCAACCGAAAUUAUUCAGCCGAAAAUAGCAAUAAAUAAAUAAAUAAAUAAAUAAAUAAAAUAAAGUAUUUUCGGUGUUCGGCCGAAUAAAUUUGACCCGAACAAUGACGUGUUUGAUGACGCGACCAAAUAGCUUAGCAACCAGAGUGAGACGCGCGAAUGUCAUGACCUCGAUGAGGGGGCGCGCGCAUGCACGAGCCGUGGAUACGUGCGUUUGUUUUGUUUCUGUUCCGGAGCAUGUUUCUGUCACGUCGCGAGACUUAAGGGAGUAGAGUACGGAAGCAGGAUCGACACAAACUGAGUUCAGAGCGCGAUCUCUGUGGAAGAUUCUGAAAUGCCUUCUCAAGAGCAGAACUACUGUGGGAAUCGUAAGAGACAACAUGCCGAGCCUCUGCGUCAGGUUGUGCAGAAGAGGAAAAGGGAACUGGAAGACAGUGACGUUGUAAACGCUGCUGUGCUUCCAGAACGCCAUAGAAAACCAGCCACGUGUAUUGAUUGUCCUGUGUAUUUAUUGUCCAGUGUAUUUGUUUUGUCCUAUCUAUUUAUUGGGGAAGUGGUGGAUCAGUGGUUAAAGGCUCUGGGUGACUGAUCAGAAGGUCAGAAGUUCAAGCCUCAGCACUGCUAAGAUACCACUGUUGGGCCCUUGAGCAAGGCCCCUAACCCUCAACUGCUCAGAUGUAUAAAUGAGAUAAAUGUAAGUCGCUCUGGAUAAGGGCGUCGGCCAAAAUGCCAUAAAUGUAAAUAUUGUUUUGUCCUGUGUAUUUAUUGUCCUGUGUAUUUAUUGUUUUGUCCUGUGUAUUUAUUUUUUUGUCCUGUGUGGUUAUUGUAUUGCCCUGUGUAUUUAUUGUCCUGUGUUUAUUGUUUUGUCCUGUGUAUUUAUUGUUUUGUGUAUUUAUUGUUUUUUCCUGUGUGUGUAUUGUCCUGUGUAUUUAUUGUUUUGUGCUGUGUUUAUUGUUUUGUCAUUUUUAUUUAUUGUUUUGUCCUGUGUAUUUAUUGCCCUGUGUGUUUAUUGUUUUGUCCUGUGUGUUUGUUGUUUUGUCCUGUGUGUUUAUUGUUUUGUCCUGUGUGUUUAUUGUUUUGUCCUGUGUGUUUAUUGCCCUGUGUGUUUAUUGUUUUGUCCUGUGUGUUUGUUGUUUUGUCCUGUGUGUUUAUUGUUUUGUCCUGUGUGUUUAUUGUUUUGUCCUGUGUAUUUAUCAUCCUGUGUAUUUAUUGUAUUGUCCUGUGUGUUUGUUUAUUGUUUUGUCCUGUGUAUUUAUUGUUCUGUGUAUUUAUUGUCCUGUGUGUUUAUUGUUUUGUCCUGUGUGUUUAUUGUCUUGUGUGUUUAUUGUAUUGUCCUGUGUGUUUGUUUAUUGUAUUGUCCUGUGUAUUUAUUGUCCUGUAUUUUUAUUGUCCUGUGUAUUUAUUGUAUUGUCCUGUGUAUUUAUUGUAUUGUCCUGUGUGUUUGUUCAUUGUUUUGUCCUGUAUUUUUAUUGUCCUGUGUAUUUAUUGUUUUGUCCUGUGUAUUUAUUGUUUUGUCCUGUGUAUUUAUUGUUUUGUCCUGUGUAUUUAUCAUCCUGUGUAUUUAUUGUUUUGUCCUGUGUAUUUAUUGUUUUGUCCUGUGUAUUUAUUGUUCUGUGUAUUUAUUGUCCUGUGUAUUUAUUGUAUUGUCCUGUGUAUUUAUUGACUUCCCAUCGGAACUGCCCAGCCUACCGCGUUUGCAACAUCCUCAACUGAAGAUGUAGGAGCUGUAAACUCGAGUAUCUGGUGGACUGGGAUGGUACGGCCCAGAGGAGCAUUGCUGGAUCCCGUCCCAGGACAUUCUGGAACCAGACCUGCGCAGGGACUUCCAUGCCGUUCAAUCAUCUAGACCGAGAAUACAGAGGAGAGGGAGGCCUCGGAAGGAUUCGGCUCCCGGAGUGAGCCCUUUGCGGGGGGGGGGGGCGGCUCUGUCACAUCACGGCGAGUUCGCAACUACAGUUCCCAGAAGGCAGUGCCAACUACAAACAUGGCCGACGAGAACUACACUUCCCGACUAUGCACGCACUCACGUUCACCAGAAUACCGAGUGAGAACACCUGUCUCGCACCGUAGGUUAUACAAGGGCUCGUUAACUUCAGCGCCUCGCGAAGUAAACGCUCAGCUACCUUUCACCUGACGUUCACCAAGCCUUUGUUCAUGUUUUGGAUUUCUACGGUUUUUGGAGUUUUUGUUCUCGGAAUACGCUUCCUUGUAUAGCCCAGUCUGUAUUGUUCGCCCGAUCGCCGACCAACUGCUACCUUCUGCAUUUCGUCUUCCGCCUGAUCCCAGUAUUCUAAUCCUGUUAAUCCUGUUGCCUCCAACAAGCUAACGUAACAAUUGUCCUGUGUGUUUAUUGUUUUGUCCUUUUUAUUUAUUGUUUGUCCUGUGUGUUUAUUGUCCUGUGUGUUUAUUGUUUUGUCCUGUGUGUUUAUUGUUUUGUCCUGUGUAUUUAUUGUCCUGUGUAUUUAUUGUUUUGUCCUGUGUAUUUAUUGUUUUGUCCUGUGUAUUUAUUGUCCUGUGUAUUUAUUGUUUUGUCCUGUGUAUUUAUUGUCCUGUGUAUUUAUUGUUUUGUCCUGUGUGUUUAUUGUUUUGUCCUGUGUGUUUAUUGUUUUGUCCUGUGUAUUUAUUGUCCUGUGUAUUUAUUGUUUUGUCCUGUGUGUUUAUUGUCCUGUGUUUAUUGUUUUGUCCUGUGUGUUUAUUGUCCUGUGUUUAUUGUUUUGUCCUGUGUGUUUAUUGUCCUGUGUGUUUGUUGUUUUGUCCUGUGUGUUUAUUGUUUUGUCCUGUGUGUUUGUUGUUUUGUCCUGUGUGUUUAUUGUCCUGUGUGUUUGUUGUUUUGUCCUGUGUGUUUAUUGUAUUGUCCUGUGUAUUUAUUGUCCUGUGUGUUUGUUGUUUUGUCCUGUUGUUUUGUCCUGUGUGUUUAUUGUCCUGUGUUUAUUGUUUUGUCCUGUGUAUUUAUUGUCUUGUGUAUUGUGUGUUUAUUGUUUUGUCUAUUCAUUGUUUUGUCCUGUGUAUUUAUUGUCCUGUGUGUUUAUUGUAUUGUCCUGUGUAUUCAUUGUCCUGUGUGUUUGUUUUGUCCUGUGCGUUUGUUUUGUCCUGUGUAUUCAUUGUCCUGUGUAUUUACCGUUUUGUUCUGUGAAUUUUUUGUCCUAUUGUUUUGUCCUAUGUAUUUAUUGUCCUGUGUUUGUUGUUUUGUCUUGUGUAUUUUUUGUCCUGUGUAUUUGUCCCGUCCUGUGUAUUUAUUGUGCUGUGAAUGUAUUGUCUUGUGUAUUUACUGUUUUGUCCUGUGUAUUUAUCCAUCCAUCCAUCUUCUACCGCUUAAUCCUUCUUCAGGGUCACGGGGAACCUGGAGUCUAUCCCAGGAAGCAUCAGGCACAAGGCGGGGUACACCCUGGACAGGGUGCCAGUCCAUCGCAGGGCACACUCACAUACACACAUUCAUACAUUCAUUCCUGUGUGUUUAUUGUCCUGUGUGUUUAUUGUCCUGUGUGUUUAUUGUCCUGUGUGUUUAUUGUAUUGUCCUGUGUAUUUAUUGUUUUGUUUAUUUAUUGUCCUCGCUAUUUAUUGUUUUGUCCUGUGUAUUUAUUGUUUUGUCUUGUUUUUUAUUGUCCUUUGCGUUUGUUUUUUUCUUGUGUAAUUAUUGUCCUGUGUAUUUAUUGUCUUGUGUGUUAUUUU